Molecule: non-coding RNA, 807 nt
Organism: Clarias gariepinus (North African catfish)
Lineage: Eukaryota; Metazoa; Chordata; Actinopteri; Siluriformes; Clariidae
Source: the annotation of a RefSeq genome assembly
GUUUCCUGACUGAAGUAGGGUGAGAUCAGGGCUCCUGUGAUCAUGUGCUCCAGCCUCAGCAUGAAAACUCUACUUUGGUUCUAUCUCCUUGUGUGCUGUGUAGCUGCACAGAGUUUCACAGAGAAGUCGGUACAUCUGGGACAGAAUGUGACUCUCAAGUGUGAAGUGUCUGAAAGUGAUGUGUACUGGUACUUGAUGAAGCCGUCAGAACCUCCAGUGUUUAUAUUACGCUCUUACUCAAUGACGAUGCAGACUCCAGAUUACAGUAACAUGACCCUCAGAAAGACUUUCUCACUAAAGCUCAAAGGCGCUUUAUAUAUACACAGGAUCAGUACUAAUGAAUUAGGUGUGUAUUAUUGUUUAGAAACAGCUUUACCUGCCAAGAUGAGCAGAGGAAUCAGACUUUACAUCCAGAACAACUCAACUGAGAAUCUGAAUAAAUGUGACCAGCAAUUCCCGAUUCUCAUCAGAUCAGUAAUUAUGAAUUGUGCUCUGGCUGUUGUAGCUACAGUUUUUACAGUUCUUUACUGCAGAACACUUCCAAAACCUCGAGCACAACCUCCAGUCCCUGCAGCUGCAUCAGGACGUUCCCAAUGUUGUGUACUCUGAGGUGCAGCACACGGUGAUGAACAGACCCGUCAGGACAAGUGACCACGACACCACAUACGCUCGUAUAAGGCCCUCAAACCCGUGACCUGGAAUGACCCCACACAGCUCUUUUGCGACUUUGUGACUCCCAAAUGAGGCGCAAAUAAGUCGUGUGUUUAUUUAGAUGAAAUGAUGAUUUUUUUUAGGGAUUUCUACAUG